RNAcentral lists this unclassified non-coding RNA (314 nucleotides) under Piscirickettsia salmonis. RNAcentral describes it as "partial 16S-23S ribosomal RNA intergenic spacer". Lineage: Bacteria; Pseudomonadati; Pseudomonadota; Gammaproteobacteria; Thiotrichales; Piscirickettsiaceae. The record is from RNAcentral.
UUAUUUAAAGACUAAAAGUUGCGUAACGGUUCACACACAUUGCUUGAUGAUUUUAUUGUUUAGUGCGGAUGAUAUUUCUUCUUUAACAAUGUGGUAAAAAGUAUAAGUAGAGAUUCCUUGAUUAAUUUAGGGUUAUUUUUAGUUUAGGUUGAGAUGUAUUUUUAUGUCUUGAUUGAUUAUUAGAAAUAAUUUUUAGUUUAUUUAAUUAACGAGUCUUGGUAAUUUUUGAAAACCGGUGUUGAGAUAUAGUUUUGAUUGGUAUUAGUUAAUAGAUUUUAGAUUUAUUGAUAUAAGACUUUUUGGGGUUAUAUGAU